Molecule: long non-coding RNA, 558 nt
Filed under: Phoenix dactylifera (date palm)
Lineage: Eukaryota; Viridiplantae; Streptophyta; Magnoliopsida; Arecales; Arecaceae
Description: long non-coding RNA (PDAC_LNC018230)
Source: RNAcentral
AUUCGAUCAAUAUCAAAACUCAGUGCUCAACAGCGGAGCCCAAAUCAACAUCCAUUUGGUCUUAUCAAGAGACAUGGACUUGAUCAACUACAACUAUUGCAAAGAUCAAGAGUUACCUUGAUCGAAUCCAAAGUAAACAUUUUAAAUUAGAUUUGACCAGUUAUUGUUCCAUAUUUUGAUUUUGACCAUUGGGUCUAACCCAGUCAGAUUUGAUUAGAUAACCCAUUAUCCCCAUGAUUUAUGCAAUGUCUUAGAUGUUUAAAUCACAUUUAAAAUCUAAGAUCUACAUCAAUACUUAAUUCACAAUUAAGUGUAUUGCAUUAUUCAUAUCUUAUCUUGGUUUUGCAUGCAUUACAACUUUGAAUCAUUAAAACCCCUUUUAAUGUUCAAGUUAAAUGGUUUCCACAUGUAUACAAACAUGUAUAUUCAUCGUAUGAAUAACAUCAUAAAAUAAUAUAAUCAGUUUACAUCAUAUGUAAAAGAUCACAUUUUGCAUAGAUAUUUGAUAUCACAAAGAACCUGGACGAGCUCUGAUACCACUGAUAGUCAUACAAACAU